Labrus bergylta (ballan wrasse) is the source of this 1045-nucleotide non-coding RNA. Lineage: Eukaryota; Metazoa; Chordata; Actinopteri; Labriformes; Labridae. The record is from RefSeq and is a predicted model, not a curated record.
CCGGACCACUCGAGCGGAUGACGGCUGUCCGAGUUUGGAUGAAAAUGCUGCGAAAAGAAGAAUUGAAGACGAAGAAGAGAAAACGUGUUUGUGUGUGCAGGUGUUUCCUCGCUCUGUGCUGUAGCUCCGAGGAACUCUGUCGACGUCUUCCAGGAGGAUUCCCCGUCGGUGGCCGUCUUCCUGCUCAGGUAGGAGAUUCAAAGCUUUCUUAAUGUUGUUUUAUUAUGUUCCAGGUUUUAGGUCUUAUAGAUGUUUAGACUCAGGUAUUUUGAUCAUUUGACUUCAUCCUUUUUGAUCAGCUAGAAGUCUAUUUAGAGUUGAGGAACAUCAGGUGUUUAAUGUAAAACUACAUUAUUAUUUUUUAAUCUAUUAGGUAUCGUUAGUCGACAGCUACAUAGCAUUAUGUUAUGUUAUGUUAUGUUAUGUUAAAGCUGAUUUAAGGAGUUAUGACCUCCUUUAGACAUGGACAUCCAGUGCUGGUAUUACUUCCUGAUCUAACGUUAUCCUGAAGGUAGCAUCAGUGUCCUGAAUGUUAAAGUUAACUAUUUUCCCUGAAAAUGAUUUGAAUCACUUCUCCUUUGACGGGUUAAAGAGAGUUUAACUUUUAACAGGACACUGAUGCUACCUCGAUCAGGAAGUAAUACCAGCGCUGUGUGUCCAUGUCUAAAGGAGGUCAUAACUCCUUAAAUCUGCUCAACAUACAAAACUCAUAACUCCACCUAAAACCUGGAACAUAAUAAAACAACAUUAAGAAAGCUUUGAGCUCCUACCCAAUGGGGGCUGGAGGAUAGUGGGGGGGAAGGGGACUGGCUGGAUGUAACCCCCUCACCUGUCACACCUUAUUGUAUUGUGCUGACGUAAUGUGUACAAAACACAGAGGUCAUCAUGUCUGUUCAAUAUUUUAUUGUAAUAAAACUACUGCUGUGUCCAUUUUGGCACAUUUCUUUAGAGUGCUACUCACACGUUUAGCUGUGUUGCACAUUCCAUGAAUGCACAAUGCUUACAAGUUAUACCUCGUUGUAGGUUUAUUCUGCUGUUUAUUCUU